Molecule: long non-coding RNA, 459 nt
Filed under: Vigna radiata
Lineage: Eukaryota; Viridiplantae; Streptophyta; Magnoliopsida; Fabales; Fabaceae
Description: long non-coding RNA (VRAD_LNC017003)
Source: RNAcentral
UAACGUUGAAUUCCUAUUUACUUUUAUUUGAUUUUUGCUUAAUUACCAUUUACUCUUUUUUAAUGCUCAUCAUCACGGAAUUUCAUUUUACCAUGCUUUUAAUUGGUUCAACAAUUUUUGCAUUAAAUGUUUUAUUUCUUCAAUUGCUUUAUGCACCAACAUUUCAUCUUAAUUCACGUGAUUUCCCAUUGUCAUAUGCAUUUCUUGUUUUAGCUUAAAUGUUGCAUUUAAAUAUCAUACCAUGUGUUUCUAUAUUAUGUGAUGCAUUUUAAUUAGUUUACUAAUCUUGUUUUAGAGACCGAUUAGUCUCAAUGUAGAACCGUUCGGUCACCUGUAGGACCGUUCGGUCUUCAUGCCUUGUUCAGUUAUUUUAAUGUUUUCAAUUAUGUUUGGUUGUAUUUAAUUUCCAGUUUUAUUUUAAUUUAAUUUUCCUUGCAAGAACACUUUCAAACCCCCCCA